This 361-nucleotide ribosomal RNA is filed under the name Sphingomonas sp. ED154. RNAcentral describes it as "bacterial SSU rRNA". It matches the Rfam family "Bacterial small subunit ribosomal RNA", at positions 8 to 393 of the family's 1533-position model. The record is from RNAcentral. Lineage: Bacteria; Pseudomonadati; Pseudomonadota; Alphaproteobacteria; Sphingomonadales; Sphingomonadaceae.
AGAGUUUGAUCCUGGCUCAGAAUGAACGCUGGCGGCAUGCCUAACACAUGCAAGUCGAACGAAUUACCUUCGGGUAGUUAGUGGCGCACGGGUGCGUAACGCGUGGGAAUCUGCCCCUUGGUUCGGAAUAACAGUUGGAAACGACUGCUAAUACCGGAUGACGACGUAAGUCCAAAGAUUUAUCGCCGAGGGAUGAGCCCGCGUAGGAUUAGGUAGUUGGUGUGGUAAAGGCGCACCAAGCCGACGAUCCUUAGCUGGUCUGAGAGGAUGAUCAGCCACACUGGGACUGAGACACGGCCCAGACUCCUACGGGAGGCAGCAGUGGGGAAUAUUGGACAAUGGGCGAAAGCCUGAUCCAGCA